Molecule: ribosomal RNA, 1547 nt
Filed under: Salmonella enterica subsp. enterica serovar Carmel
Lineage: Bacteria; Pseudomonadati; Pseudomonadota; Gammaproteobacteria; Enterobacterales; Enterobacteriaceae
Description: bacterial SSU rRNA
Rfam family: Bacterial small subunit ribosomal RNA
Source: RNAcentral
GAAGAGUUUGAUCAUGGCUCAGAUUGAACGCUGGCGGCAGGCCUAACACAUGCAAGUCGAACGGUAACAGGAAGCAGCUUGCUGCUUUGCUGACGAGUGGCGGACGGGUGAGUAAUGUCUGGGAAACUGCCUGAUGGAGGGGGAUAACUACUGGAAACGGUGGCUAAUACCGCAUAACGUCGCAAGACCAAAGAGGGGGACCUUCGGGCCUCUUGCCAUCAGAUGUGCCCAGAUGGGAUUAGCUUGUUGGUGAGGUAACGGCUCACCAAGGCGACGAUCCCUAGCUGGUCUGAGAGGAUGACCAGCCACACUGGAACUGAGACACGGUCCAGACUCCUACGGGAGGCAGCAGUGGGGAAUAUUGCACAAUGGGCGCAAGCCUGAUGCAGCCAUGCCGCGUGUAUGAAGAAGGCCUUCGGGUUGUAAAGUACUUUCAGCGGGGAGGAAGGUGUUGUGGUUAAUAACCGCAGCAAUUGACGUUACCCGCAGAAGAAGCACCGGCUAACUCCGUGCCAGCAGCCGCGGUAAUACGGAGGGUGCAAGCGUUAAUCGGAAUUACUGGGCGUAAAGCGCACGCAGGCGGUCUGUCAAGUCGGAUGUGAAAUCCCCGGGCUCAACCUGGGAACUGCAUUCGAAACUGGCAGGCUUGAGUCUUGUAGAGGGGGGUAGAAUUCCAGGUGUAGCGGUGAAAUGCGUAGAGAUCUGGAGGAAUACCGGUGGCGAAGGCGGCCCCCUGGACAAAGACUGACGCUCAGGUGCGAAAGCGUGGGGAGCAAACAGGAUUAGAUACCCUGGUAGUCCACGCCGUAAACGAUGUCUACUUGGAGGUUGUGCCCUUGAGGCGUGGCUUCCGGAGCUAACGCGUUAAGUAGACCGCCUGGGGAGUACGGCCGCAAGGUUAAAACUCAAAUGAAUUGACGGGGGCCCGCACAAGCGGUGGAGCAUGUGGUUUAAUUCGAUGCAACGCGAAGAACCUUACCUGGUCUUGACAUCCACGGAAGAAUUCAGAGAUGGAUUUGUGCCUUCGGGAACCGUGAGACAGGUGCUGCAUGGCUGUCGUCAGCUCGUGUUGUGAAAUGUUGGGUUAAGUCCCGCAACGAGCGCAACCCUUAUCCUUUGUUGCCAGCGGUCCGGCCGGGAACUCAAAGGAGACUGCCAGUGAUAAACUGGAGGAAGGUGGGGAUGACGUCAAGUCAUCAUGGCCCUUACGACCAGGGCUACACACGUGCUACAAUGGCGCAUACAAAGAGAAGCGACCUCGCGAGAGCAAGCGGACCUCAUAAAGUGCGUCGUAGUCCGGAUUGGAGUCUGCAACUCGACUCCAUGAAGUCGGAAUCGCUAGUAAUCGUGGAUCAGAAUGCCACGGUGAAUACGUUCCCGGGCCUUGUACACACCGCCCGUCACACCAUGGGAGUGGGUUGCAAAAGAAGUAGGUAGCUUAACCUUCGGGAGGGCGCUUACCACUUUGUGAUUCAUGACUGGGGUGAAGUCGUAACAAGGUAACCGUAGGGGAACCUGCGGUUGGAUCACCUCCUUACCUUAAAGAA